CGCCUCUUUAUCAAAAACAUCGCCUCCUGCAACUUUUUACGUAUAGGAGGUCCAGCCUGCCCAGUGACUACGGGUUCAACGGCCGCGGUAUUUUGACCGUGCAAAGGUAGCGCAAUCACUUGUCUUUUAAAUAAAGACCUGUAUGAAUGGCCAAACGAGGGCUUAACUGUCUCCCUCUUCAAGUCAGUGAAAUUGAUCUACCCGUGCAGAAGCGGGUGUAAUAGUACAAGACGAGAAGACCCUUUGGAGCUUUAGGUACAAAACUCAACCACGUCAAACAACUCCGUAAAAAGACAAGAACUUACUGGAAAAUGAGAUUUUACCUUCGGUUGGGGCGACCAUGGAGGAAAAAUAAGCCUCCAAGCGGAAAGGGCUAACACCCCUAAAACUAAGAGAGACAUCUCUAAGCCGCAGAACAUCUGACCAAUAAUGAUCCGGCGUAAAGCCGAUCAACGAACCAAGUUACCCUAGGGAUAACAGCGCAAUCCUCUCCCAGAGUCCAUAUCGACGAGGGGGUUUACGACCUCGAUGUUGGAUCAGGACAUCCUAAUGGUGCAGCCGCUAUUAAGGGUUCGUUUGUUCAACGAUUAAAGUCCUACGUGAUCUGAGUUCAGACCGG
Molecule: ribosomal RNA, 619 nt
Filed under: Tanakia lanceolata
Lineage: Eukaryota; Metazoa; Chordata; Actinopteri; Cypriniformes; Acheilognathidae
Description: partial 16S ribosomal RNA
Rfam family: Bacterial large subunit ribosomal RNA
Source: RNAcentral